GAGACGUGAUGCGUAGCCGUUUGAGGCGAAGUAGAGUGAUCCUAUGCUGCCGAGAAAAGCCUCUAGUGAGUGCAUGCACGGCCCGUACCCCAAACCAACACAGGUGGUCAGGUAGAGAAUACCAAGGCGAUCGGGUGAACUGUGGUUAAGGAACUCGGCAAAAUGCCCCCGUAACUUCGGGAGAAGGGGGGCCAAACAUCCUGAAGCUCUUCGCGAGCUAGGGGUGGGUGGCCGCAGAGACCAGCGGAAAGCGACUGUUUACUAAAAACACAGGUCCAUGCGAAGUCGCAAGACGAUGUAUAUGGACUGACGCCUGCCCGGUGCUGGAACGUUAAGAGGACCGGUUAACUCCUUCGGGGGUGAAGCUGAGAAUUUAAGCGCCAGUAAACGGCGGUGGUAACUAUAACCAUCCUAAGGUAGCGAAAUUCCUUGUCGGGUAAGUUCCGACCUGCACGAAUGGCGUAACGACUUUCCGGCUGUCUCAACCACAGGCCCGGCGAAAUUGCACUACGAGUAAAGAUGCUCGUUACGCGCGGCAGGACGGAAAGACCCCGGGACCUUUACUAUAGUUUGGUAUUGGUUUUCGGUUCGGCUUGUGUAGGAUAGGUGGGAGACUGUGAAGUGGUCACGCUAGUGGCUGUGGAGUCGUUGUUGAAAUACCACUCUGGUCGAAUUGGGAAUCUGAACCUCGGGCCAUGAUCUGGUUCAGGGACAGUGCCUGAUGGGUAGUUUAACUGGGGCGGUUGCCUCCUAAAGAGUAACGGAGGCGCCCAAAGGUUCCCUCAGCCUGGUUGGCAAUCAGGUGUUGAGUGCAAGUGCACAAGGGAGCUUGACUGUGAGACAGACAUGUCGAGCAGGGACGAAAGUCGGGACUAGUGAUCCGGCACCUCCUGGUGGAAGGGGUGUCGCUCAACGGAUAAAAGGUACCCCGGGGAUAACAGGCUGAUCUUGCCCAAGAGUCCAUAUCGACGGCAUGGUUUGGCACCUCGAUGUCGGCUCGUCGCAUCCUGGGGCCGGAGUAGGUCCCAAGGGUUGGGCUGUUCGCCCAUUAAAGCGGCACGCGAGCUGGGUUUAGAACGUCGUGAGACAGUUCGGUCCCUAUCCGCCGCGCGCGUAGGAUACUUGAGGAAGGCUGUCCCUAGUACGAGAGGACCGGGACGGACGAACCUCUGGUGUGCCAGUUGUUCUGCCAAGGGCAUGGCUGGUUGGCCACGUUCGGAAGGGAUAACCGCUGAAGGCAUCUAAGCGGGAAGCCUGUUCCAAGAUGAGGUAUCCCACCCCAUGUGGGUUAAGGCCCCCAACAGACCAUUGGGUUGAUAGGCCAGAAAUGGAAGCACAGUAAUGUGUUGUCGAGUUGACUGGUACUAAUAGGCCGAGGACUUGCCU
RNAcentral lists this ribosomal RNA (1386 nucleotides) under Amycolatopsis sp. CA-126428. RNAcentral describes it as "bacterial LSU rRNA". It matches the Rfam family "Bacterial large subunit ribosomal RNA", at positions 1558 to 2925 of the family's 2925-position model. Lineage: Bacteria; Bacillati; Actinomycetota; Actinomycetes; Pseudonocardiales; Pseudonocardiaceae. The record is from RNAcentral.